RNAcentral lists this ribosomal RNA (1152 nucleotides) under Triticum aestivum (bread wheat). Its description in RNAcentral is "partial small subunit ribosomal RNA". The record is from RNAcentral. Lineage: Eukaryota; Viridiplantae; Streptophyta; Magnoliopsida; Poales; Poaceae.
AUGAAGAACGCUUCCUACUCUAUUGUAUCCUGGAAUGUUCGUGGUCUAGGAGAUAAUGACAAGUGCGCAAAUGUGUUCUCUGAAUUAAACUGUUUACGACCGUCCAUAGCCCUCCUUCAAGAAACCAAGCUACAAAAACCAGACACCAUCAAGCUUCGUUCGAUUCUGCCUCGCUUCCUUGACUCCAACAAUCACCUUGACGCUUCAGGAAUGGCGGGAGGCAUUCUUUCGGCCACAAACUCACGUUGCUUCUCGCUUACCAAUUGCCAACACAAACGAUUCACAUCAACCUUAACUCUAUCAUGUCUUGCAUCGCCACACAACAUCUUCGUUACAAAUGUUUACGCUCCAUCGCAACGUGAUCUAAAAACGGAAUUCCUUGACGAACUAAAAACAAUUGAACCACCUACACAAUCACCCUGGCUCCUCAUUGGUGAUUUCAACAUCACCAGAUUCCCCCACGAGCGUAAUAAUGCUAACUUCCGCAGAUCAUAGGCCGACGCUUUCAACGAUACAAUUGACCACCUUCCCCUCAUAGAGUUGCCUCUACUUGACAGAGAGUUCACCUGGUCAAAUAAAAGACAGUCCCCUACUCUAAUUAGGCUAGAUAGAGUGCUGAUCAACUUAGCCUGGGAUGCCAUGUUCCCAAACUCUCACUUAACCUCUCUCACUAGGUUCAUUUCGGAUCACGUACCGCUCCUAGUCACAAUAUCUACGUCCGUCCCAUCUUCCCGCAUUUUCCGAUUUGAAAAAUUCUGGGCCUCAUUUCCAAAAUGCACUGACAUUGUGCGUGAAUGCUGGCAGCCCAUCCCUGUUCAUCGCAGGCCAACUGACCUGGCCGCCGCCCUCGCUGGCUGCAUCAAAUCUACUCGCUCCGCACUAAAGUCUUGGGCCAAAACCCUGAAGCCCAUCUAUCAACGGGAAACUGACUGUAAACUGGCUAUCCAGGCCCUCGAUUUGAACGAAGAAAUCGCCCCACUUCUCCCGCUCGAACAAAAGCUGCGCCUUACGCUCGCCAACCUACUUCAACUAAUUAUCAAACAAAAGAUCGCCUUCUGGAAACAAAGGGGGAAGAUACGUUUGGCCAUCGACGGCGACGAGAACACUCGUUUUUUUUCAUGCCUCUGUAACCCAACGCUCGGGAACAAAUAA